This 402-nucleotide ribosomal RNA is filed under the name Verrucomicrobiota bacterium. RNAcentral's name for it is "Verrucomicrobia bacterium partial 16S ribosomal RNA". It matches the Rfam family "Bacterial small subunit ribosomal RNA", at positions 355 to 776 of the family's 1533-position model. Lineage: Bacteria; Pseudomonadati; Verrucomicrobiota. The record is from RNAcentral.
UGGGGAAUUUUGCACAAUGGGGGAAACCCUGAUGCAGCGACGCCGCGUGAUUUAGAAGGCCUUCGGGUUGUAAAAAUCUUUUGUAUGGGAAGAAAAUGACAGUACCAUACGAAUAAGGACCGGCUAAUUACGUGCCAGCAGCCGCGGUAAUACGUAAGGUCCGAGCGUUGUCCGGGAUCAUUGGGCGUAAAGGGUACGUAGGCGGAUAAGCAAGUUAGAAGUGAAAUCCUAUAGCUCAACUAUAGUAAGCUUUUAAAACUGCUCAUCUUGAGGUAUGGAAGGGAAAGUGGAAUUCCUAGUGUAGCGGUGAAAUGCGCAGAUAAUAGGAGGAAUACCGGUGGCGAAGGCGACUUUCUGGCCAUAAACUGACGCUGAGGUACGAAAGCGUGGGUAGCAAACAGG